This 97-nucleotide small nucleolar RNA is filed under the name Spinacia oleracea (spinach). Its description in RNAcentral is "small nucleolar RNA snoR114". It matches the Rfam family "small nucleolar RNA snoR114". The record is from Rfam by way of RNAcentral. Lineage: Eukaryota; Viridiplantae; Streptophyta; Magnoliopsida; Caryophyllales; Amaranthaceae.
AAGCUUAUGAUAUUAUCUGCACUCUUUGUGGCUGUUGGGUCCGCCACAUUUGUCUGAUCUUCGAAUGAAAUAAUGAAAUUUAAGUGCAUCUGAGCUU